This 304-nucleotide ribosomal RNA is filed under the name uncultured Pseudomonadota bacterium. RNAcentral describes it as "bacterial SSU rRNA". It matches the Rfam family "Bacterial small subunit ribosomal RNA", at positions 29 to 351 of the family's 1533-position model. The record is from RNAcentral. Lineage: Bacteria; Pseudomonadati; Pseudomonadota.
AACGAACGCUGGCGGCAGGCCUAACACAUGCAAGUCGAACGAGAAGCCACCUUCGGGUGGUGGAUAGUGGCAGACGGGUGAGUAACGCGUGGGAACGUGCCUUUCGGUUCGGGAUAACCCAGGGAAACUUGGGCUAAUACCGGAUACGCCCUUCGGGGAAAGAUUCAUUGCCGAAAGAUCGGCCCGCGUCGGAUUAGCUAGUUGGUGGGGUAAAAGCCUACCAAGGCGACGAUUGGUAGCCGAACUGAGAGGUUGAUCGGCCACAUUGGGACUGAGACACGGCCCAGACACCUACGGGUGGCUG